UAGAAUGCAUGCAAUUGUUUAUUGAGGUGUGUGUGAAUGAUCUGUAUAAUCAUUUAUGUAAUUGGAUGUUUAUUUGGGCCUAUUCUAACAACACCCCUUAAGACCUUAUUCUAACACCACCGGCCUUAUUCUGCUAACACGUUAGUACAGGAAAACCACCUAACCGACCACCCACCCAUCGAUAAGCGAACUACAUCUAUCAUAAAAGAAAACUCCCCCACCUAGCCGCCUUCUUCCUCCCACUCUGCCCCCACGACCCCCACCUUCCUCCCAAAGUCCCAAUCCACCCCGACCUCCACUGCCUUCUACCGCCGGCCGGGACAGCCAAGGGCCGGGCCGCCGUCCGUGGAUCUCCGCCGCCCUGCACUGCUUCUACUCCCUGCCUCGCGGAACCUUCUCCCCUCGCCCCCACCUCCCACCCCGGGCGCAUCAAGCGCCGCCGCUGACCACCAGUAGCCGCGCGCGCCGCCCAGCCACCUCCAACCCCGGGUGAGCGCCGCCGCCGAACCACCAGUAGCCGGGUCAACCACCACGCCCAGCUUGGCUUCCUCCCCUGGUCGCCCGCCCCCCCACCCGGCCGAGCAAACCACCAGAUCCAUCGGGAUCCUCAUCUACUCCUGUGCCUGCCCCGCGAUGGAUCCGCAUCCUCCGCUGCGGCUUCCCACGCCAGCGCGCCCUAGUGGUUGCCAGAUCCGGGCAUCUCCUUGUUCCCCAGGUCACUGCCCCGCCUCUUCUAACUUCUCCCAUCGCGGUGAUGACGAAGAGUCCACGCAGGGGCGUGGCUAAGGCCACCCUGCCCAUGCAACUCCAACUACAUCGACGGGAGAUUGCACCUCAUGGUGGACGACGACGAGUGCCACAACGUCCGUGUGCAGUGCACAACCGCUGCACUGCAGUCCACCUUCCCAAGUGCGCCACCGUGAGAUCCACUGCUUGGGUGUCCAAAAAAAACCAGAUCCGGCGCCACCGCGUGAGGAACGUCGUCGUGGUUUACAUCAGUGUAUCUUGGCUGCUUCACCAUAGAUGAAGGAGCCCCUGCGGCCAAAAUGUUCACCGUCGCCGUUCGUAGAUGCCUCUGUGUCCGUGUGCAGUUUGGUUAAAUAUACUCUUGUGUACCAUGCCUUAUCAAGUUUUUUUGCCUUUGUUGCAGAAGAAUAAAUCUGCUAAGGAAGUUCUGUUGGGGCAAGAAAAAUCUACAGGAGGAAAUGCUACCAAGGUAGUUGCGUUGCAGCACAACAUGGUCUUCUGAAUGUCAUGUUUAUAGAACUCAUGCUUAGAAGAUUGUCAAAUUUUUUUGAAGAAAAAGAAGUCAUGUGCUUCUGAAUAUCAUGUUUACCGCAAUCUAGCUUAGCAGAUUAGUCUGAAAAACCUUUUAAGAGACAAAAAACUAGUAAUGAGCUCCAAUCGAACUUAUGGUGAUGUUCACAGGUUCGGUGUUGUUUGACUGAACUUGAACAAUUAAUACCAGUACCACAGGAGAGCCUGUACAUUUUAAUGUAUCCCUAAUUCUAUGUGUAUGCAAUGCCGUGGGCUCCUCAACAGCGCCGGAGUGGACUGAGUGAUAGGUCCAGGUUGGCGAGGGGACCCUCUGUGCAGCUCACUGAAGUUUGUUUUGCAGCUCGCUUGCUGGUACAGUGCAUGGGCAACGCCUCCGUGCAUUUCAAGCAAUGUUCAGUGCAUUUCAUAAAAAAGUGCAGUUGGGUUGAACUUUGUGUGUGAUUGUAAUGUGGAGACAGAAAAAAGAAUUAUUUGUGUGGAUUACUCAGUUUGUAAAAAUCUUUUCUUUGUAAAAGCAGUGCGCUUGGUGAACUGAAGAAGUACAUUUUUCAAACUAUUGUAGUUCGUUGCUAAA
Long non-coding RNA from Aegilops tauschii subsp. strangulata, 1852 nucleotides. RefSeq lists it as uncharacterized. The record is from RefSeq and is a predicted model, not a curated record. Lineage: Eukaryota; Viridiplantae; Streptophyta; Magnoliopsida; Poales; Poaceae.